GACGAACGCUGGCGGCGUGCUUAACACAUGCAAGUCGAACGAAGAGCGAUGGAAGCUUGCUUCUGUCAAUCUUAGUGGCGCACGGGUGAGUAACGCGUAAUCAACCUGCCCUUCAGAGGGGGACAACAGUUGGAAACGACUGCUAAUACCGCAUACGAUCUAAUCUCGGCAUCGAGGAUAGAUGAAAGGUGGCCUCUACAUGUAAGCUAUCACUGAAGGAGGGGAUUGCGUCUGAUUAGCUAGUUGGAGGGGUAACGGCCCACCAAGGCGAUGAUCAGUAGCCGGUCUGAGAGGAUGAACGGCCACAUUGGGACUGAGACACGGCCCAGACUCCUACGGGAGGCAGCAGUGGGGAAUCUUCCGCAAUGGACGAAAGUCUGACGGAGCAACGCCGCGUGAGUGAUGACGGCCUUCGGGUUGUAAAGCUCUGUUAAUCGGGACGAAAGGCCUUCUUGCGAAUAGUGAGAAGGAUUGACGGUACCGGAAUAGAAAGCCACGGCUAACUACGUG
Molecule: ribosomal RNA, 510 nt
Filed under: uncultured bacterium
Lineage: Bacteria
Description: partial 16S ribosomal RNA
Rfam family: Bacterial small subunit ribosomal RNA
Source: RNAcentral